RNAcentral lists this ribosomal RNA (378 nucleotides) under uncultured bacterium. Its description in RNAcentral is "bacterial SSU rRNA". It matches the Rfam family "Bacterial small subunit ribosomal RNA", at positions 28 to 415 of the family's 1533-position model. The record is from RNAcentral.
GAUGAACGCUGGCGGCGUGCCUAACACAUGCAAGUCGAGCGAUUCUCUUCGGAGAAGAGCGGCGGACGGGUGAGUAACGCGUGGGUAACCUGCCCUGUACACACGGAUAACAUACCGAAAGGUAUGCUAAUACGAGAUAAUAUACUUUUAUCGCAUGGUAGAAGUAUCAAAGCUCCGGCGGUACAGGAUGGACCCGCGUCUGAUUAGCUAGUUGGUAAGGUAACGGCUUACCAAGGCGACGAUCAGUAGCCGACCUGAGAGGGUGAUCGGCCACAUUGGAACUGAGACACGGUCCAAACUCCUACGGGAGGCAGCAGUGGGGAAUAUUGCACAAUGGGCGAAAGCCUGAUGCAGCAACGCCGCGUGAGCGAUGAAGGC